CAAUUGUGCCUUUAUUUAUAGUAGUGGGAUAAGUUAAAUCCUUACCCUUUUAUGAUUACAACUCUAAUAUGAUAUUAGCUACUAAAGGGAAUAUUCAAGAUAUCUCUAGAUACACUAGGAUUUACACAAUCACAUUCAUAUUUUAAAUAUGAUUGCAACACUUCCCCUUAAGUGUGUAAAUACUCAACAAAACAUUGCAUCAGAUCUUCAGCAGAUAAGGCAUAACAAUUGAUAAAGUCGGCGGCACAACAGGCGAAUGUGAGUCUUAAAUUUAAAAGAAAGUAUGCAUUGGUAGUAAAACUCACAAAACCCCACUAUGGUAAAACCCAAGGUGGGAGAAAAACUCAUAGACUAAGGAGAAAAGUGAUAAGCAUGAAUAAUGUCUAAAACAAAUGUCAAACAUGACAAAAGUAGUGAACUCAACAUAGUAUGAUCAUCCCAUGAUUGGUGCCUUGUUAAAACCUCGUUAGGUAACAAAAACCUAGUGGGAAAAAAUGCUCCUAAUCAUAGGAAAAAAAAGUACAUUAAGAUCAAGUGAGUAUGCUUCAGGAUAUUCCCCCUGAGUUAGACAUAACUUCCAAAUAAGAGAACUACAAGU
RNAcentral lists this long non-coding RNA (598 nucleotides) under Malus domestica (apple). Its description in RNAcentral is "long non-coding RNA (MDOM_LNC000871)". Lineage: Eukaryota; Viridiplantae; Streptophyta; Magnoliopsida; Rosales; Rosaceae. The record is from RNAcentral.